Molecule: ribosomal RNA, 481 nt
Filed under: uncultured bacterium
Lineage: Bacteria
Description: partial 16S ribosomal RNA
Rfam family: Bacterial small subunit ribosomal RNA
Source: RNAcentral
GACGAACGCUGGCGGCGUGCUUAACACAUGCAAGUCGAACGCUGAAGCCCUUCGGGGUGGAUGAGUGGCGAACGGGUGAGUAACACGUGGGUAAUCUACCCUGCACUCUGGGAUAAGCCUUGGAAACGGGGUCUAAUACCGGAUAGGACACAUCGCCGCAUGGUGUGUGUGUGGAAAGUUCCGGCGGUGCAGGUUGAGCCCGCGGCCGAUCAGCUGGUUGGUGGGGUGAUGGCCUACCAAGGCGACGACGGGUAGCCGGCCUGAGAGGGUGACCGGCCACACUGGGACUGAGACACGGCCCAGACUCCUACGGGAGGCAGCAGUGGGGAAUCUUGCGCAAUGGGCGAAAGCCUGACGCAGCAACGCCGCGUGGGGGAUGACGGCCUUCGGGUUGUAAACCUCUUUCGACCGGGACGAAGGAUUCGUUUGACGGUACCGGUAGAAGAAGCACCGGCUAACUACGUGCCAGCCGCCGCGGUAA